UGAUCAACAUUAUGUUGAUACACAGUCAUAUGAUAUGUUUAACUAAGACUUUUAUCUCUUUACAAUAUUUCUACUAUUUAGUUUUCAAUGUGCUUGAAUGAAUGCGAUGCAGUGCAUUCUUAAAACAAGUUUAUAAAAUUUCCGGUGGCGACGCUGUGAGUAUGAGGUGAUAACAAGCCGAAGGCGCAGUUAGAGCCCAUAGCGAAUGUGUUUCGUACUUGACAGCCGGAAAGAAGCAGGAAGCAUAGCGACCUGUACAAUUAAAUAGUUUAUAAAAUUUCCGGUGGCGAUAGCUAGAGGGAUCCACCUGUUCCCAUUCCGAACACAGAAGUUAAGCCUCUAUACGCCCAAAGUACUUGGCUGGUGACGGCCCGGGAGGAUAGGUAGCUGCCGGAU
This 396-nucleotide ribosomal RNA is filed under the name Christensenella hongkongensis. Lineage: Bacteria; Bacillati; Bacillota; Clostridia; Christensenellales; Christensenellaceae. The record is from RNAcentral.